This is a non-coding RNA of Mycena polygramma, 90 nucleotides long. NCBI's taxonomy places the organism in Eukaryota, Fungi, Basidiomycota, Agaricomycetes, Agaricales, Mycenaceae. The record is from the annotation of a GenBank genome assembly.
GACCCUGUAGCACCCGGUGUGCAUCUGCUCUUUGAACCUUUCGAAGCAACUUAUAGCGGAAGGACCUGGUUCGAUUCCAGGCGGGGAUCA